UACAGAGGUCUCAAGCGUUGUUCGGAUUCAUUGGGCGUAAAGGGCGCGCAGGCGGCUCAUUUUGUCAGGCGUGAAAGCCCCGGGCUUAACCUGGGAACUGCGUUUGAUACGGAUGGGCUAGAGUUCGGGAGAGGAGAGUGGAAUUCCCAGUGUAGAGGUGAAAUUCGUAGAUAUUGGGAAGAACACCGGUGGCGAAGGCGGCUCUCUGGACCGAGACUGACGCUGAGGCGCGAAAGCGUGGGGAGCAAACAGG
This 253-nucleotide ribosomal RNA is filed under the name uncultured bacterium. Its description in RNAcentral is "partial 16S ribosomal RNA". It matches the Rfam family "Bacterial small subunit ribosomal RNA", at positions 524 to 776 of the family's 1533-position model. The record is from RNAcentral.